AAAUAUGAUAGGGGGGGUAAGAAAAAAAAAGAUGAAAACAGAAAAUGGAAAAAGAAAAAAGCUUAGAGAAAGGCGAAAAAAUAAUCAAUCAUUUUGCAUUAGCAUACUGCAUACGUCAUGCAUAUCUAACCACUCGUAUACCCAUUUACCACAUAACCUUCCAAUUCCCAGCAGCUGCCCUGCACAAACACUAGCUUGUUC
RNAcentral lists this long non-coding RNA (201 nucleotides) under Lathyrus oleraceus (garden pea). RNAcentral's name for it is "Pisum sativum (pea) long non-coding RNA (PSAT_LNC009978)". The record is from RNAcentral. Lineage: Eukaryota; Viridiplantae; Streptophyta; Magnoliopsida; Fabales; Fabaceae.